Long non-coding RNA from Polypterus senegalus (gray bichir), 3134 nucleotides. RefSeq lists it as uncharacterized. The transcript is spliced from 5 exons. NCBI's taxonomy places the organism in Eukaryota, Metazoa, Chordata, Cladistia, Polypteriformes, Polypteridae. The record is from RefSeq and is a predicted model, not a curated record.
AAGAACAACACGAUUAUCUUAAUGAGAUGACGAGCCUAGUGAAACGCCGGUCUUGGAGUGGAGUUGGCAGUCAGGAUUGCUGUUUAUGUGCCGGGCAGAGCGGGGAGAAUUUCAGCUUUAAUGUUUCAUUUUGUAGCAGUGCUCCAAGUAGUGUGCUUGGCCAUUUGCUCUGAGUCAUGUUCUGGCAGCUCCUGCUUACCCUUCAAAGUAAUUGGUAGAUUGUGGUUUCAGCGGUUUACGUCAGCGGCCCCUUUCACAUGCAAAUUCAACCUUUAUAGAAAUCCAGAUAGUUUCAGUUUGGGGGUGGAAGUGAGGAUACUGUUUUCAUUGAAAUGAAGAAACACAAACACCAACUUUUGCACAGUCUGUGACUAGUUUUUACUAAUAGGUGUCAAGUUUGUAUGUUGAACAUUUCUUGAGGGCUCCUGCUGGCAGUUCCCUGCUCUUCCCGACACUGGAACACUUUCAUUCUACCCAGAAAAGGCUGGACAUGAGUAGAAGAUCCCUGAGUGUAGCUGUGCCACCUACUGGUCUUUUAGUCGCUUCUUCCUGCUGCCCAAGUUUAGUUGUGUGUCACAGAGCUUGCACGCUAGACAAGAGUAACACAUGGGAGCACCGCAUUGCGGGUUGGCAGCCUCCUAGCCACCCAUAAAGCCACAGCCCUCUGCCAAAAGAGAAGGAAAGCUGGAAGCAGAUUAGAGACAACUCUUGGCUGAAAUAUGCAGAAAACAAAAGCAACAAAUGUUAAUUGAGUUCCAGCAGAUGAUGAACACAAAGAAAAGUAAAAAGUACAUUGUAUCAGGAAGCAGGAUUGCAUCCAAAGCGCCCACACUGCACACACUCCGAGUCCAAGAAAACAGAAGCACAAGCCCACGAGGCAUCUGAUUUUGAUCGCAAGACGAUGGCGAAGUAGCAAGUAGCAGAAGGAGUUUGUGUUUUUUGCAGUAGGUGUACAAAUACAAAGCUGAAUUCAUGAAGAAGUUAAAUAUGAGAUUACAGCAAGCAAAGGCAGCUGAAUGCAAGGAGGAAACUCCACCCAAAGCCUGCACCAGAGCCUUGAGGCUGUGCCGCCAAGCGUGGGGAACGGUUGUGAAUUAAAAGCAGGACGCCAAGCAGAACGCUGCAGGAAAAGUCACGCAGCGCUUUAAUUAAAAUUGUUCCUUGAGGUGCAAAAAUUUGGAAUGGAAGUGUCAGUGAGACAGUGGUGCAGUAGGAUGGCAUUGCCAACCUCAUGCCUUAGGGGCAACCUGUGGAAUUUGCCAGAGAAGUCUGACAAGGAUGAGCAGUGUGGCUUUUCAGCUUAGUUUUGUUAGCGGACCCCAGCUCCCCCCAGUGUUUGAAUCAACCUGUAGCCGUGUCUUUGCUGCCUGUAGAAAGAAAGGAUUUGAGGGGCUCAAGGGAAGACUUUAGUUUCUAAAGACUCCACUUGCAUAGCUUACUUUCCUGAAAAUGUACUUGAGCACGACUUCUCACAGCCGACGUGCUUGGCCUAUUAGAUGUCACUCGGGUGCCUGUCUGUGUUGAAGUUCUUGUGCUGUUUUUCUGUUCAUGUACGUUCUGUUCUACAUGCAAGGUGCAAGAAAAAUUACUCAUUUUGGAAGAGAUAAGACAGGUGCCCAAGCAUUACUGAUUGAUCAUCACAGAGAUGGAGCUUCAGUUUGGCUUGCAAGGACAUGAAGGGAGACUUGACACUGAUGUCUACAUUCACACUUGAUGUAACUCCUUGCUGCUGUCUGAGAUUAUUUAAAGACAAAUGAGGAUAUGCAGUAACAAACUGACACGAGUUCCUGCUCAUGAUGGCAGGGUGACGGUGCUACAUCAGAUUGAGGUGAAUGAGCAGCACUCAUUCCUCCCCAUCCACAAAGUUCUUUUCAUCCUAAUCUUAUAAGACUGAUGGGUUGUUCUUGGUUGUUAAGAGGAGGAGUGGCACAUUGUACAUGUGAAGUAUCCAUACUGGGAAGAAGGCACCCCAGGAAAUACAUGAGGAGCAUGCCAGAGGGUAUCGCAAUGACCUGAUGCCAAUCAAGAUGGACCAGGCACCAAGAAGCGAACGUGAAACCCGUAAGAAGGCCCUCUGUGUGUCCAACAGUGAAAAACACAAACACAACCUCGACGUCAGCAGGGCAGCACUUCGAAAUCAACGAUGAGGAAUCAAGAGGGACCACGACACACACAAAGCAAAGUGGGAGAAACGAGGGUCCUUCGGAGAGCAAAGCGGAGCGAAGUCCAGCACUUGGGGUCCGGCGGCAGUGGGCAUAGGAGAGCAGCAUCACUGAUUUUGAGGGAUGGAUGAGGUUCAGUGCUGGGAUUCCAAAGUGGAAAGGUCGUCAAAGCCACAAUGAUGACAGAACCAGUCCCGAUGUAACCGAUGGGCUCACGCUUUGCUCUCGGACACAGUGAAAUAUCCACUGCCAAGAACCAGAGCCUGUGACGUCUGCUCCAGCUGCACACUUUGGAGUUGGGAGAGAACUGGUGAGGCCCUCAUCCAUUUCCAGUUGUAGAUCCCACCAGGACUGCAAGCUCCCUUGUCUCCAAGAGAAGAUGGAGGCCAUCCAGGGCGUGCCUGAAGCUGCUGAGGUGAGACAUUCAGAACUUUUGAGAGUGGGCUUUGUGUGGUGAAGUUUUCACGACUGUUAGUCUGCACCUCAGUAUGUCCGUGAUAUCAUUUUAAGGACUGUAACAGUAAUUUCCAUUGUAAACGGGGUACGGUUUGUCUUCUGUGUGUUCAUUUUGAGUGUUGUAACACAUAAGUUGAUGUUUCUGUAAGUCUGUGAUUCCGUCUGUGCUCUGCUUAUUUUUGAGUGAUCUUAUGACAUGUCGGACUGUACACUGCAUGCACUUUGGUUGUCAGGCCCGCAGUCAGUUGUUUAAAAUGUCAGGCUGCUCCUGACUGUUGAGAGAGGUACAGCACCCAACGAGGGGCCAGGACGAGCCGUACCACCCACCCAUCUCACCAACAUUUUGGGCUAAACUUGAUGUAAAAUAUCAUUAGCAUCCAGUGAUCAUGCAGAGAGAAAUGGCCAGACUGUGUCAGUAAGACGCAGUCCAAGUGAACGACUAUUCAAUGACCAGGUGACCUUCCAGUGGUGGCCCAGUCUCCUAAUCUGUGGGGCUGUGGUUUGCCGUGUGACAUG